GCAUAUGGAGGUUCCCAGGCUAGGGGUUUAAUUGGAGUUGCAGCUGCUGGCCUACACCACAGCCACAACAGCAACGCCUGAUCAGAGCCCUGUCUGUGACCUACACCACAGCUCACGGCAAUGCUGGAUCCUUAACCCACUGAGCAAGGCCAGAGAUUGAACCCAGGAAAAAUAGGUCAAAAUCAGGAAAAGGAAAGGACAAAUCAGUCAUAGCAAAAAAUGUCACCUGUGAAGUGGCGUGGGGUGGUGGCAUGUAGGAAGAGAAAUGGAUCUACCAGUCAUGCUGGUGACUGUGUCCUGGGUAAGGGCUUUGUCCCAGAAUUGUGUUCAGCAGCACCCCCUUUGAUUCUCAGAGUUGUCCUUGUGUGGAUGAGAAGCUCUUUGGUCGCGUAGUAGUCACAGGGAAUCUAGAAUAUCACUUACACACUUAAGUGAUGGGAGGGGGGAAACUGCAUGCUAUUUGGGCCACAAAGCCCUGAAUUAUUACAGGCAGGUGGACACUUAGUGAAGGAACUUCUAGAACCUUGUUCUCUAAGCCAGGGUGCUCUUCCUCUUAUUUUUACUAAGCCCUCUAUUUUUUUUAAAUUAAAAAAAAUUCUUAUAUAUAAUGAUUUUUAUUUUUUUCCAUUAUAGCCGGUUUACAGUGUUCUGUCAAUUUUCUACUGUACAGCAAGGUGACCCAGUUAUACAUACAUGUAUAGAUUCUUUUUUCACACAUUAUCAUGUGCCAUCAUAAGUGAUCAGACACAAUUCCCAGCGCUACACAGCAGGAUCUCAUUGCUUAUCCAUUCCAAAGGCAAUAGUCUGCAUCUAUGAACCCCAAGCUCCCAGUCCAUCCCACUCUCUCCCUUUCCCCCUUGGCAACCACAAGUCCGUUCUCCAAGUCCAUGAUUUUCUUUCAAGCCCUCUCAUUUUUACUGAAGCCCAUCUGCUGGCUGGUGAAAUGCAAGUGGAGAAAAUAGGAGGAUACAGGGUGAGGCAGGGAGGGGAGAAAAAGCCCAAGAAGUCAUGGGAUCCUCAGUCCAUUUUAUACCAUGAAAUCACACGGGGAAAUGGACUCAGUGACUGUGCUUGUCUGCCACAGCUCUGUUUGUCUUUCUGGAAGGCAGAAGUCCUGCUUUGGGAGUGGACAGCAUUGGUCAGCAGCCUGACUCGGCCUGACUCGGCCUGACUCGGCCUGACUCAGUGGCCCCUCUGCACAGUUCCUUGUUCUGGGGUUCCCAUGAAGUGUCUUCAAGAUACAUGCCAGUUUCUGACCGUUGUAGACAAGACCACCUCAGUGUUUGGUAUUUGUGUUCCACUGGCAGUCAGGAUGUGUAUGUGUGUGUGUCUGGUGGGCGGUGUGGGUGAACCACCCUAAUCCAGGAAAAGCACACAGGCAACCCCCCCAACUCGGGCGGCACCCAGCUGGCCCCCUGUGUUCUAUUUUAAAAGCUCCAACGUAGUCUGAUCUGAGGUCUGUCCAUUUCAUCCCUUCCUUGUUUACUGGAACAUUGGGUCACUGCAGUGCAGCUGGAACACAAUCUCUGGGCGAUUCAGCAAGGCCAAGGCGGGCCGUACAAGGCGUCACAUCAUUGCACUGUUUUUCCUCCCCUCCCACUGAGUUUUCUUGGAAGUUCUGAGCCAGGCUCAGUGUGUAUCUCCAGAAAUGCAUUCCACAUUCCCAGCUGCUUACAACUCAGCAAGUCUCACUGUCCCUCCUUUUAAAAUCCACGUGCCCUGAAGGGUUAGAGAGAAAGAAGCCCACACCAAGGGUUGUCCCAGGCUCCCGGUGUGUUUGCUACUGCCUGCUGCACAGAGUUCCGACAGGGUCCUCCCUUAACAAGCAAAGAGGAAAAUCAUCUCUGUUGCGAUGCCAGUGUGACUCGGCAAAGUUGCAUCUAGCGUGCGCGUCUGUCCUGGCUGAGGGGGGCUGAGAGAGGCUUUGCUGCCCUUUUCCCCCUUGAAUACGAGUUUCUCGUGACUUUCCACCACCCUGAACUCACAAUGAUCCGUCAAGGACCUUCUCCUAUUUCCCUCCCAGCACCAUCCUAAUUUCCUCCCUUCAGUGGCUUCUCUCCUCUUCAUGAUCACUUUAUCCCUUCCUGGACCAGAGGAAAUAACGAGAGACAGGUGAGAAACAGCCAAACACAUCAAAAAUCCUAUUUGUCUCUUUGAGGGUGAAAAUGGUGCCUCUGUCUUUUACAUUUGUACUUGCUGUUGAAUUAGCCAUUGAUUCCUUAGGAUGGAGCGCCAGCCUCACUUGGGAUCUUGUUGAAGUGCAUGGUCUCAAGCCCUAGCCCAGACCUUUUGACUCAAAGCCUCUUGGGCUGUACAGGCCAGCAGUCUGAGUUUUCACAAGCCCUCCGGGUAACUCUGAUGUGUGCAAGUUUGGGAAUCCUUAGGGUAGAGGGGUCUCCGUGGAGAUGGGGGGAGGGGAGGCUUGCGGUUUCCCUCUGCGCUCAGAUGUUAGAAUCAGUGGAGGGGAACAGAGCCUGUGCCGUGCUCCUUAGGGCUGGCUCAGGCCCCUUGCCUUUCAAGCUGGGGCAGGUGUAAGAGUGAAGGUGAGGAGAAGGACUGAGAAGCCAUGGUGACCCUAUCGGAUGCCCUCCGUGAGCUGGCUCUAUGCACCACCCUUUGGAUGGGAAUCUAGAGCUUCCUGAUCAUCUCUCAGACCAAGUCAUGUAAUGGUUUAGAUUCCAUCACUCCACUUCUGAGAAAUGUGCUCUUCAUCUUGUCAAUGCUUUCCUUUCUAUACUCUGAAGAGCCCCCAAGAUUAUUAAGAGGUAUUGAGAUCUAUGAGGCUAGACACAUGAUAUCCAAUUUGCAUUUCCCAGCCAUAUGUGGCUACCGAACAAUUGAUAUGUGGGUAAUCUGAGCCGAGACAUGAUCAGAGUAUCCAUACACAGCAUAUUGCAAAGGUAUAGUCCAAAAAAAGGAUAAUUAUUUCAUUAAUACUUUUAAUAUUGGUUUCAUGUUGAAAGUAUAACACUUAGACUGUGUUGGGUUACAUAAACUGUAUUAACAUUAUUAUUUUUUUUUUCCAUGCUCAUGGCAUGUGGAAGUUCUCAGACCAAGGAUCAAAACUGUGUCACAGCAGCGACCCUAGCUGAUGCAGUGACAAUGCCAGAUCCCUAACCUUCCGCACCACAAAAGAACUCCAACAUUAAUUUCAUCUAUUUAUUUUCACCUUUUAAAUUGUGGCAUUGGAAAAAUUAAAAAUUACCAAUACAGCUCAUAUUUGUGACUCACAUUUUACUUCCGUGGGAAAGCGCUGGUCUGGUUAGUCCGAGACUCUAGUCAAACGCAGGAUUUUGAAUAACACAAGUGGAUAGGCCAGGAGCAAAUACAAGGGAGCAAGUGUGAACUAUAGCAUGUAGAACAUGUUGAGGUAAAGCAGUGUAGCCUAAAGCAUGAUAGCAGAUCCCCUGAACUUUGGAGCUAGACAUACUAGGGUUGAAUCUAGACUCUGCCACUUACUAGGACAAGGACAAGUAACUUAAGCUCUUUGAAUUUCAGUUUUCGCCUCUGUAAAAUGAUGGUCUUGGUCCCUAAAGAGGUUUUGUGAGAAUUAGUUAAGACAAUGAACAUAAAAGGCUGAAUACUAGUCCCAGCCAUUAAGAAGUACUCAAUAAAUUUAUUUAUAUUUUUACUCAGUAUGCAUGAAUUCUUGUUACAUAAGAAGGAAUUCUAUUACUAGAUUGUAUUAGAUACUGAUUAUGGAACCUUUGUUUUGGAGGAUCCUUAGCAUUUAGAUGGAGCUCCUCUAUCUGGAAUGGUUUGUGUAUCAUCCUACCCAAAAUAUCAGGUGAAUGUCUUAAUUUUUCAGUGCCUCCUCCGCUGAAAAUCCACAGCCAGGCAUGGACCCCUCCUCACCACCUCCUACUAUGGUACUUAAAGACCUCACCAUGAAAAACUGGAUUGCAUAAAGGACUGCUCCUGGACAGAGACCCCUGGCUUGUUAUAUUUGCACAACUGGACAGUUUUCAUGGCAUAGAUUGGAUGGACUCUGUCAGUGACAGGAGGCAAUGUCCCUCCUGAAGGAGGGAAGGGAGUCUCUUCACUAGCAAAUACUCCAGGUGAGCAAAGUGAGGGUUGGGUGGAUAAUGGGAAGGCAACACUAUGCUCCUGGCUUUAAGAUUUAUGGAUGGGCCCUGAAAGAAGUGUUUUAGCCUUUCUGUCCCUAAGAGCACAGAACAUCUAGUUUAGAUUUCCCCAAAGAGAAGGCAGAUCUCUCACAAGUUUACAUGGAGGCAGGGAUGAGAUAAAAGGGUGACAAUGAGGUGAAAAAGAGUGGAAAAAACAAACAAACUGAAAAAGGUGCUGCCCAGCUCUACAUUGAAAGACCCUAAGAGUGUCCAGGCCUAAUAGCAUAUCUCUUAAGGGUAUAGUCUCUGGGAUCCCAGCAGACUGACACUGUGAUAAAACUCUGUCACAAUUUCUCAGCCAUUGGGGAAAAAAAAAAAGAUCCUGUGAUUCCAACCAUGGAACUGCUACUCAAAACAACUGCAAGAAAGAGGAAGUAGAGACCACGCGAGGUAUUUCCGUGUAAGACUGUUCCACCUUGAGAAAAGAAGCAAAAUGUGGAAAUGGGUCCUUGGCUGGAGAAUGGAUUAAAGAGUCUUUGGUCUCUUUCUGAAUUGUGCUACUUAAUUUAUCAUCACCACCAUCAUCAUCAUCUUUGUUGUCAUCAUCUCCAUCAACCGUGCUUCCUACAUGCCAGAAGUGUUGUGUUCCCUGGUUGAUCUCAUUUAAUUCUUCUGACAGCAAUAUGAGGUAAGCACUCUUAUUAUGCCGUCUUUAUGAAUGAGGAAACCGAAGCUUAGGAACAUUAAGUGAGUUGCUCAAGGUUCAACACACCCCUGUUGCAGACUGGCUGGAACUUCCAUACUUAAUACACAGAAAGGCAAACUGAAAGUGCCGUAUUACAAAUCACCAAGGGAAUCCUUACAUCAGAAGUGCUCAGCCUAUAUCCAACCUAAAAUCUCUUUUAUAAGAAAUGUUUUAUGUCAACAUAUUUACUAUCCUGAAAUGAAAUUCACAGAUUAUAUAACCAACCCAACUCAACACACUAUAUUUGAAAACCGAUAUUUAGUUAAUUGAAAAGAAACGUGACAUGAAGGUGUAUUGUAACAACGUAGUAUAUAUUAUAAUAUCUAAACAUUCAAGCACAGUGAGAUGCUUAUUUCUAUAUAUAGAAUCACCAUGGAAACCACAGCCACAAAUCCUGACAGCUCAAAUAUCACAAGUAGUGCUGAUAAUUGAUG
Molecule: long non-coding RNA, 5246 nt
Filed under: Sus scrofa (pig)
Lineage: Eukaryota; Metazoa; Chordata; Mammalia; Artiodactyla; Suidae
Description: lncRNA (ENSSSCG00055009868.1)
Source: RNAcentral